AGCUAUUGCUAUGUAUCUGGCCAUGUAAUACUGAAAAUACUCUAAGAGAGGCUUGGAAGAACGCUGUCACCUGGAGUAACUCUGCAGAGCCAGACAAAAGUAUUAUGUGACACGACAGAGCCAGGCACCUUGGUGAAGAGAGCUGGAAAUGAAAAACAGCAGGCCAGUUAAUACAGUGACUUGAAAAGGCAAAGGACUGGGCUUUCUACAGGCAUGUGGACGGAGAAGCAGCAGAUGGAUGCUAGUUGUAAAAGAGUGGGAGUGAAAUAGCUCUAGAUGAAUAUACACACCGCUUCAGCCUUCCAAGAAUUAAUGAGAGAAGACCAGCAAGGACUGGACAUCCCCAGUGCAGCCAAGGGAGGGAGCAUGCGCAG
Molecule: long non-coding RNA, 374 nt
Organism: Harpia harpyja (harpy eagle)
Lineage: Eukaryota; Metazoa; Chordata; Aves; Accipitriformes; Accipitridae
Exons: 3
Source: RefSeq, a predicted model, not a curated record